This 284-nucleotide ribosomal RNA is filed under the name uncultured Lachnospiraceae bacterium. RNAcentral describes it as "partial 16S ribosomal RNA". The stretch from base 46 to 284 matches the Rfam family "Bacterial small subunit ribosomal RNA", at positions 100 to 339 of the family's 1533-position model. The record is from RNAcentral. Lineage: Bacteria; Bacillati; Bacillota; Clostridia; Lachnospirales; Lachnospiraceae.
AUUUUUAAUGAAGUUUUCGGAUGGAUUUAGAUUUGACUUAGCGGCGGACGGGUGAGUAACGCGUGGGUAACCUGCCUUAUACUGGGGGAUAACAGUUAGAAAUGACUGCUAAUACCGCAUAAGCGCACAGUGCCGCAUGGCACGGUGUGAAAAACUCCGGUGGUGUAAGAUGGACCCGCGUCUGAUUAGGUAGUUGGUAGGGUAACGGCCUACCAAGCCGACGAUCAGUAGCCGGUCUGAGAGGAUGAACGGCCACACUGGAACUGAGACACGGUCCAGACUCC